This 253-nucleotide ribosomal RNA is filed under the name uncultured bacterium. RNAcentral describes it as "partial 16S ribosomal RNA". It matches the Rfam family "Bacterial small subunit ribosomal RNA", at positions 524 to 776 of the family's 1533-position model. The record is from RNAcentral.
UACGUAGGGGGCAAGCGUUGUCCGGAAUCAUUGGGCGUAAAGCGCGUGUAGGCGGCUAGGUAAGUCUGCUCUGAAAGCCCGGGGCUCAACCCCGGGAGGCGGGUGGAUACUGUCUAGCUCGAGUCCGGAAGAGGAGUGUGGAAUUCCUGGUGUAGCGGUGAAAUGCGCAGAUAUCAGGAGGAACACCGAUGGCGAAGGCAGGUCUCUGGGCCAUAACUGCCGCUGAGAAGCGAAAGCAUGGGGAGCGAACAGG